GGCCUGAUGGUCUAGUAGUAUGAUUCCUUGUUAGGGAAAUGGCCUUGCCAAAUCCGGUAAAUCGAGGAGGUCCCGGGUUCAAUUCCCGGUCAGGCCC
This is a non-coding RNA of Coprinopsis cinerea okayama7#130, 97 nucleotides long. NCBI's taxonomy places the organism in Eukaryota, Fungi, Basidiomycota, Agaricomycetes, Agaricales, Psathyrellaceae. The record is from the annotation of a RefSeq genome assembly.